UACGGGAGGCAGCAGUGGGGAAUAUUGCACAAUGGGCGCAAGCCUGAUGCAGCCAUGCCGCGUGUAUGAAAAAGGCCUUCGGGUUGUAAAGUACUUUCAGUCGUGAGGAAGGUGUUAAGGUUAAUAACCUUAGCAAUUGACGUUAGCGACAGAAGAAGCACCGGCUAACUCCGUGCCAGCAGCCGCGGUAAUACGGAGGGUGCGAGCGUUAAUCGGAAUUACUGGGCGUAAAGGGCACGCAGGCGGUUAAUUAAGUUGGAUGUGAAAUCCCCGGGCUUAACCUGGGAAUGGCAUUCAAGACUGGUUAGCUAGAGUCUUGUAGAGGGGGUAGAAUUCCAUGUGUAGCGGUGAAUGCGUAGAGAUGUGGAGGAAUACCGGUGGCGAAGGCGGCCCCUGGACAAAGACUGACGCUCAUGUGCGAAAGCGUGGGGAGCAAACAGGGAUUAGAUACC
This 452-nucleotide ribosomal RNA is filed under the name uncultured bacterium. Its description in RNAcentral is "bacterial SSU rRNA". It matches the Rfam family "Bacterial small subunit ribosomal RNA", at positions 340 to 786 of the family's 1533-position model. The record is from RNAcentral.